UACGAAGGGUGCAAGCGUUACUCGGAAUUACUGGGCGUAAAGCGUGCGUAGGUGGUUUGUUGAGUCUGAUGUGAAAGCCCCUGGGCUCAACCUGGGAAUUGCAUUGGAUACUGGCAGGCUAGAGUGCGGUAGAGGAUGGCGGAAUUCCCGGUGUAGCAGUGAAAUGCGUAGAGAUCGGGAGGAACAUCUGUGGCGAAGGCGGCCAUCUGGACCAGCACUGACACUGAGGCACGAAAGCGUGGGGAGCAAACAGG
Molecule: ribosomal RNA, 254 nt
Filed under: uncultured bacterium
Lineage: Bacteria
Description: partial 16S ribosomal RNA
Rfam family: Bacterial small subunit ribosomal RNA
Source: RNAcentral